RNAcentral lists this ribosomal RNA (477 nucleotides) under uncultured bacterium. RNAcentral describes it as "bacterial SSU rRNA". It matches the Rfam family "Bacterial small subunit ribosomal RNA", at positions 59 to 518 of the family's 1533-position model. The record is from RNAcentral.
AGGACGUCGUCGUCCUACCUACGAGAAGAAGUAGUAGGCGGACGGUAGGAGACGUAACACGUGGGUAACCUGCCAUAAGGAGGGGGAUAACAUCCGGAAACGGGUGCUAAUACCGCAUAGUUUUCUUGAUCGCAUGAUUGAGAAAGGAAAGACGGCCUUUGUGCUGUCGCUUAUGGAUGGACCCGCGGCGUAUUAGUUAGUUGGUGAGGUAACGGCUCACCAAGACGAUGAUACGUAGCCGACCUGAGAGGUGAUCGGCCACAUUGGGACUGAGACACGGCCCAAACUCCUACGGGAGGCAGCAGUAGGGAAUCUUCCGCAAUGGACGAAAGUCUGACGGAGCAACGCCGCGUGAGUGAAAGAAGGUCUUCGGAUCGUAAAACUCUGUUGUCAGGGAAGAACAAGUUGGAGAGUAACUGCUCCAGCCUUGACGGUAUCUGACCAGAAAGCCACGGCUAACUACGUGCCAGCCGCCGC